RNAcentral lists this long non-coding RNA (272 nucleotides) under Aotus nancymaae (Ma's night monkey). RNAcentral describes it as "lncRNA (ENSANAG00000038560.1)". The record is from RNAcentral. Lineage: Eukaryota; Metazoa; Chordata; Mammalia; Primates; Aotidae.
UCCUCUCCUAACUAUACUAUGAAGCUCAUAUUAUCAUUAUUUUUGCCCUUUUACAGAAAGGAAAACAUACAAAGAGAAGAUGAAGAGAUAACCAAAUUAAGUGGCUAUGCUCAGCCCACCAUGGAAUAUAUCAUAUUUACCCUCAGUCUUGGAGAAGACUCAAAGGAAAGCCAGAUGAACACCAUCCUAAAUGUGAAGGCCUGCAAAGGCAAUGGGAUAAAAUUGCAGGUAGGUUUCUGUUAAAAUACAAACUAAUGAGUCACAGGUCAGAG